This 64-nucleotide transfer RNA is filed under the name Ixodes confusus. Its description in RNAcentral is "tRNA-Thr". Lineage: Eukaryota; Metazoa; Arthropoda; Arachnida; Ixodida; Ixodidae. The record is from RNAcentral.
GUUAUAAUAAUUUAACUAUUAAAAUAUUGGUUUUGUAAACCAACAUUGAUUCAUUCUUAUAACU